UUCCCUCAGUAAACAUUGUAAACAUGAGUUCACGGUCUCAGUUUCUAGUUUCAAGUCUUCUUCAAUACAUGUAGAGUCAAACCGACCAUGAAGCAGGGGAUGCUUUAGGGCGGGGCUACGCGCUGAUUGACAAGUCGCAGCCACAGCUUUGUCUUGAAAUUGUCCACCGUUUUGAUGGAAUGUAUGUAUCUCCGCGCUCUUGAGUCACUUGACUGUCAAGAAAACCAAACUGGCGCUGUGCAAAACCAAGAUGGCAGCAGCCCUGUGUCAGGUCGUUGAUCCACGGGGGAAGACCAAAGCAUGACUGGUUUAACCACUCCAACAAUCUCCUGCAGGGUCGCAAAGUAAUUAUCGAUCCAUUGAUGGCAUCAUGCAUCAAGAUUUGUUUAACAAGAGAAGUACCCGUCUAUAGAACAACUAAAACGAAAAGAACACUCCCCCCCUAAAUGACCCCUUCACUAAGUAAGGAUUUUGGAUAUUUACACAGUUUUGUCUUUCAUCGUUCAGAUCUCUUUCCACGGUCUACUUCCUGUUCCUUUUUCAAGACGGUUUACAGUUCCUGAAACUCAGUUUUCCCUGUGAUGGCAGGGCCAGUGCUGCGGCGUGGUGAGCUCGGAUGACUGGGAGGACAACAUCCCCUCCAGCUGUGACUGCCGGUCAGCGAGCCGAGGCGCGUAUCAACCCUUCACAGCUUAUGCAGCCGGGUGCAAAGCCAAGCCCCAGGGAGUCUCAGGCCCAGACCAAAUCUAUAAACAGACAUGCGGGGAUUUCAUCUUCUCCUGGUUCAACUUCGUCUUGCAGAUCGUGAUGGGCUUCUUCUUCGGACUGGCUGUCACGGCUGUGAUGGGCCUGCUGGUCUCCCUCCUGAUGAUCCAUCAGGUCAGACGCCACGAAACCAGAGAAGCGUCCAUCGCGAUGAAGGGCUACUAAGAGACCCUUCAGCCAGUCCCCUCUGGCCCCGACCCCUGACCCCUCUCACCUCUGCACUGCACCAGGAGGACUCAGUGGUCCUCUGUUUCUAUUUCAAUGUAUUUUCAGGCUUUUAGGGGGGGGGGGGGUGUGCUUGCAGACAGAGAAUCUCCACAUUCCAGAGUUUUUUUUUUACUUCCAGCUUUUCAUAUUAGGCUUUAUAUUAGAGAAUGCGGCUUGAAUAGCGAAUAUAUUUUUGUUAUAUUUUUGUUGAGGGGGUUCGGGGUUUUAUCACUUGUUUCUCAUCGUAGCCUUAUAUAGUCUCAUCUGACUGUGCAGCUUUAUUAACCCCGGGAGGCACCUUUGGAACAAUCUUCAACAAUUUCUCAACCAUCUUAAUUGCCGUUCACAUCCGGCAACAACAAAGAAAAAACAAUCCAAAAACCUUCGAAUCGGUUGCCUUCCGGUAGACGGCGUGAAUUUGAGGGUUAAAGGUCACCAAAGUCAUCCUUGUAGGAAAAUGUGCGUAAACAAACUCCGUUGAUUUGGCGGGUUCACAGAUUUAUUUGCAGUUACAGAUCAUGAAUUCAAUCAAUUGAAGAACCUGAACUCAAAGUAACAUCACAGAAAAACCUCCUGGGGUCAAACUAACCGUGUAAAAGGUCAAGCUCUAUGUGUUAUUAUGAAAGAAGAAACAAUAAACUUAGAUAGAAUCCAUUUUUUCUGUGUAAAGGUCUCUUGUGCACAUGUGUUCUGUGAUUGACAGAAAUAAAGCUUGUUAAUGAGACUGUUGACUUGUGGGCUACUUGUAGUUUGCAGACCACAUUCAUCCACGUUCGUUUAUAACGUCCCACAUUCACAGUUUACAGACCAUCAGCUCUCUGAUCAGGGUGCACCUUGGCAUUUCCCAGCAUGCACUGGGCCCCAUCAUCUCCGUCUCCUUUGUCUCUCCAUGGCGAGUGAGCCCAGCGGCCGAUAGAUGGCAGCGGCCACCAGAGAACAAUCUGCGCUGAGGCCGCGUUCGGAUCCGCCGACCUUCCUCUCCCACAGACGAGCCCACGCUUGAGCGUGUCAUCGCCGGGUCACCGCGGUCUCUGACUCGCAUGUUGAAUCCAUUUCACGGUCAAGUUGCGUUUCUGUCGUCUUAAAAUGGAGUUCCUGCACAUCAAAACUGUUUUAAGUCAAAGAAGCUGCACAUUUCCUUGGAGGAGGAUCCUCAAACGCAGCAUCACAGCAGCUUAGAUUCACCAUAAGAAGUAAAAAUAUCUUCUUCAUCCUGCUGCAUUUUAUUUAUAACUAAUUAGCUCACAGCCGGUCUGCCAAGCUGGUGCUGAUUUACGCCCUCAGGCAUCUUAUAAUAUGAUAUAAAGCAAUACUAUUAGCAACAAAUGACCCAUGAAAGCACUGUAAGCACAAUGGGUAAAUAUACAAACGCAUCUUAACCUCGAAUAACGACAGAAUAAAAACGCCGCGACUCUUUGACAUGAUUAAAGAAAUAAUAAAUAGCUCUCGUCUUGUUGUGGUCUUUUUUAAACACAAUGUACAGAUGGAUGCUGAACAUUAUGAAUCCAAAGCUUCAGUUAAGGUUGUUUACUCUUUUUAAUUUGCUUCCUUAAAUGAACAAACUGGGUUUGUGUGUGUGAUGUUUGCAUGAGCCUCUUCUCCAGCAGCAAUGUUCUGUGUUUAAAAAGAAAAUCAUUACCAGUUCAAGCAUUCCCCAUAUUAAGCAUAUUUAAAGGAAAAGGGACCAUGUGACAGUGUCACAGUUUGUUCAACGUGUUCUUUAUUUAAGUAAGAUUUUAGAUAUAACAGAUAAAAAGACUGUUACUGAACCAGCAUUGUAUUCGGCGUGUUAUUAUCAUCAUCACGGGGGACUUUUGUCAUUUUCCUGUGAGAAAUGAUCGUGAUGAGCGACGCUCAGAUGUCUUUAAGACUUUUACUGUAGAUGCUGCAGGCCGCCCGACCUCCACUCCAGUCGGACGAACCAUAUUCAGCACAAGACAAAGUCAAGAAAGAGGUCGCUCCAUUUACUCCUCCGCUAUGAUGCUCAACUCGUAACCAGACAUCCUGAUUUCUCUCCUUUAAAACAUCCAAACGAUGACUGUUUUCCUCUGAAGUGCAUCUCAUUAUGUUUGGACAACUGCAAUUCUGCUCCUGCAUUCACCACGUUCCUCUAUUGUUACUGAAACCCGCUGCGUCGUCCUUCAUCAGGUGUGUUACAUCGGCGGGAACGUCGCCUACGAGCAGCGGCGACGAGGCGGCGAGCGAUGGGGCCCUUCCAGCUCAGACGCGUGUUGGUAGCAGUUGAUUGACAGAUCGAAACCAACUGUAUUGUCGCUACAACAACAGGGACGGCCCCCCUGAACAAACACAUCAAAGGCUUGAUGUUAAUAUGUUGCACAAAUAAAUGCAAGAUUAUUCCGUUUAUGCUGCAUGAGGACAAAACAGCUUUUAUGUCCCACAACUCAGAGUAUGAAGCUCUCAUCAGGUUGGACAUGUGACCCGGUGGACAUGUAACUUGGUGGACAUGUUACCCGGUGGACAUGUGACCCGGUGGACAUGUGACUUGGCGGGCAUGUGACCCGGUGGACAUGUGACCCGGUGGACAUGUGACCUGGUGCACAUGUGACACGGUGGACAUGUGAGCCGGUGGACAUGUUACCUGGUGGACAUGUGACCUGGUGGACACGUGUCCUGGUGGACAUGUGAGCUGGUGGACAUGUGACACGGUGGACAUGUGAGCCGGUGGACAUGUUACCUGGUGGACAUGUGAGCUGGUGGACAUGUGACCUGGUGGACAUGUGACACGGUGGACAU
Gasterosteus aculeatus (three-spined stickleback) is the source of this 3726-nucleotide long non-coding RNA. The record is from Ensembl. NCBI's taxonomy places the organism in Eukaryota, Metazoa, Chordata, Actinopteri, Perciformes, Gasterosteidae.